RNAcentral lists this ribosomal RNA (502 nucleotides) under uncultured bacterium. RNAcentral describes it as "partial 16S ribosomal RNA". It matches the Rfam family "Bacterial small subunit ribosomal RNA", at positions 28 to 523 of the family's 1533-position model. The record is from RNAcentral.
GAUGAACGCUAGCGGCAGGCCUAACACAUGCAAGUCGAGGGGCAGCACAGAAACAGCAAUGUUUUGGUGGCGACCGGCGGACGGGUGCGUAACGCGUAUGCAACCUACCUUUAACAGGGGGAUAACGGAGAGAAAUUUCCACUAAUACCCCAUAACAUCCAUCAAGGCAUCUUGAUUGGUUGAAAACUCCGGUGGUUAAAGAUGGGCAUGCGUUGUAUUAGGUAGUUGGUGAGGUAAUGGCUCACCAAGCCUACGAUACAUAGGGGGACUGAGAGGUUAGCCCCCCACACUGGUACUGAGACACGGACCAGACUCCUACGGGAGGCAGCAGUGAGGAAUAUUGGUCAAUGGGGGCAAACCUGAACCAGCCAUGCCGCGUGCAGGAAGACGGCUCUAUGAGUUGUAAACUGCUUUUAAACAGGGAUAAAGCACAGAAUGUAUACUGUGUUGAAGGUACUGUAAGAAUAAGGAUCGGCUAACUCCGUGCCAGCCGCCGCCGUAA